Molecule: ribosomal RNA, 251 nt
Filed under: uncultured bacterium
Lineage: Bacteria
Description: partial 16S ribosomal RNA
Rfam family: Bacterial small subunit ribosomal RNA
Source: RNAcentral
UACAGAGGGGCAAGCGUUGUUCGGAAUUACUGGGCGUAAAGGGCGCGUAGGCGGCCUUCUAAGUCGAACGUGAAAUCCCCGGGCUCAACCCGGGAACUGCGUCCGAUACUGGAAGGCUUGAAUCCGGGAGAGGGAUGUGGAAUUCCAGGUGUAGCGGUGAAAUGCGUAGAUAUCUGGAGGAACACCGGUGGCGAAGGCGACAUCCUGGACCGGUAUUGACGCUGAGGCGCGAAAGCCAGGGGAGCAACGGG